UGGGGUGUAGCUCAGUGGUAGAGUGCUUACCUAGUAUGCAAGAGGCCUUGGGUUUGAUUCCCAGCAUCCAAA
This is a non-coding RNA of Ictidomys tridecemlineatus (thirteen-lined ground squirrel), 72 nucleotides long. The record is from Rfam. NCBI's taxonomy places the organism in Eukaryota, Metazoa, Chordata, Mammalia, Rodentia, Sciuridae.